GGGAUUGUGAUCAAGAGAUGAGAAUAAUAAUAUUAUAUUAUUGUUAUAAUGAUUUUACAGUACAAUAAUUAUGUACUGUGUAUGUGCGGACAGAUAAUAUUGAGCAAUGACGGUCAAUUAGGUCAUAGCAUAUUACCGUGCUGUGAAACCCUAAUUAUUAAACUUAGUUAUGAGAAAUGACUGAGUAGUGACUGUGUAUAUGAAGUUUACUGUGUAUAUGAAGGUUACUGUGUAUAAGAUGUCGGUAAUUAGAAGAAAACCCUAAUUACUGUUGUUUGUCGAUAAUUAGGACAAACCCUAAUUAUUACAACCCUAAUCGGUUGAAGUUAGAGAUCGUAAUGACUGUGUUAGAACAUACACAGAUAAUUAGAGAAUCCUAAUGGUCAAUUAGAAACCCUAAUUGACGGCGUUAAGAAACCCUAAUUAGAAAACCCUAAUUUUUCAAUCAAAACCCUAAUUUAAAAUUAUUGGGUUUAAUUACGAUGUUAAUGUAUAAAAGUUUUAAUUUACCAAAGGAUAAGAAGUAAUUGGUAAAUAAUAAGAAUUACCAUCUAGUGAUUAAAUACUACAUUUAAUUGCUAUGUACAAAAAUGCCCAUGAAAUUAUAUGUGAAAUUACCAAAAUACCCUUUUAGUGUAUUAUUAGUUAUAUUAUGGAAUUUUAAAAUCUAAAGUGAUAAACCCUAAUGGUUAUGGAUAAUGUCUAUAAUGCCCUUCAUGGUAGACAUGAGAAGUCUAAACUACCCUUGUGCAUUAUUAAAAUUAUUAGUGUGGAAAUGACUAAAAUGCCCCUUUUGUCCAUUUAGUGUAUUAUUAGUGUAUUAUUGGAGGAAUCUUGCUAGAAAAGCAUGGCAAACAUACUUACCCUACCAAUUAAGCAUCCAAGACUCAAUUAUGCAGAUUCAAUCAACCAUUGAGUAGCAUCCAAUGCAUCUAACUUGGUUUAUAUAUAGAUUGGAGAGAGAUAAUAUAUUUUGUACACUAAAAUUCAUCCAACUCUCAUCCUUAAGCUUC
Molecule: long non-coding RNA, 1013 nt
Filed under: Panax ginseng (ginseng)
Lineage: Eukaryota; Viridiplantae; Streptophyta; Magnoliopsida; Apiales; Araliaceae
Description: long non-coding RNA (PGIN_LNC014207)
Source: RNAcentral